RNAcentral lists this ribosomal RNA (253 nucleotides) under uncultured bacterium. Its description in RNAcentral is "partial 16S ribosomal RNA". It matches the Rfam family "Bacterial small subunit ribosomal RNA", at positions 524 to 776 of the family's 1533-position model. The record is from RNAcentral.
UACGUAGGGGGCAAGCGUUGUCCGGAAUCAUUGGGCGUAAAGAGCGUGUAGGCGGCUCGGUAAGUCCGCUGUGAAAGUCCAGGGCUCAACCCUGGAAUGCCGGUGGAAACUGUCGAGCUAGAGUCCGGAAGAGGCGAGUGGAAUUCCUGGUGUAGCGGUGAAAUGCGCAGAUAUCAGGAGGAACACCAAUGGCGAAGGCAGCUCGCUGGGACGAUACUGACGCUGAGGCGCGAAAGCGUGGGGAGCAAACAGG